UCACUAACUCCGCUUGUAGCCCCUCCAAGGGCUACUGCCGGUCCCAAGCCCGGGUAAAGGAGGAGGGUUGU
RNAcentral lists this non-coding RNA (71 nucleotides) under Schistosoma mansoni. The record is from RNAcentral. Lineage: Eukaryota; Metazoa; Platyhelminthes; Trematoda; Strigeidida; Schistosomatidae.